Molecule: long non-coding RNA, 675 nt
Filed under: Cicer arietinum (chickpea)
Lineage: Eukaryota; Viridiplantae; Streptophyta; Magnoliopsida; Fabales; Fabaceae
Description: long non-coding RNA (CARI_LNC000123)
Source: RNAcentral
UGUUAACAAUGAAAAGAGGAAGAAAGAGGAAGAAGAGAAAACAACCACUCUAGGGUUUCAUAUCAUAUAAUAAACCAAAACUGAAGUUAAUAGGGUUACACUGAGUAUAUAUAUAAGAAAAUAGAAUUGUCUAGAAUUGUCUAAAAUACCCUUACUACUAAUAUAUAAUAAUAUUAUCUAACAUCUCCCCUCAAACUCACGAUGCAUUAACAUGGAGCAUCGAGAGUUUGUCAACUAAAAAAAACGAAAACGUUUAAUGGAAUGCAUCUUUGUGAACAAAUCAGCAAUCUGUAAAGAAGAAGAGACAAACAGUAGAAUAAUGAUUCUAUGCUGAAGAUGAUGACGAGAGGGGUAACGAGGAGGAUCAACAAUCGCAGGAGGUGGUUGGACAGCCGGGGGGACAAGAGGGAUGUCACCAAAGAAGAAGCAACAAUCAAAGAGAAGAACCAAGCCAACAAAAAAAUCAAACCGAAAAAGAAGCGAUCAAAAAAGGAGCAACAACCAUAUCAAAAUCAACUGAUAGGAACAACCAAAGAAGUAGCACCACGAAACCAAAUCCAAACAAACCAAGGAGCAACAACCAUAUCAAAAUCAACAGAUAGGAACCACCAAAGAAGUAGCACCACGAAACCAAAUCCAAACAAACCAAGGAGCAACAACCAUAUCAAAAUCAAC